This 370-nucleotide ribosomal RNA is filed under the name uncultured eukaryote. RNAcentral's name for it is "partial 18S ribosomal RNA". It matches the Rfam family "Eukaryotic small subunit ribosomal RNA", at positions 592 to 976 of the family's 1831-position model. The record is from RNAcentral.
CAAUAGCGUAUAUUAAAGUUGUUGCAGUUAAAAAGCUCGUAGUUGGACCUUGGACCUGGACAGGCGGUCCGCCUCACGGCGAGUACUGUCUUGCUGGGUCUUUCCUCUUGGUGAUCUGUUGUUUCGGCAGCAGGGAACCAGGACCUUUACUUUGAAAAAAUUAGAGUGUUCAAAGCAGGCUCGACGCCGGAAUAUAUUAGCAUGGAAUAAUAAAAUAGGACGUGCGGUUCUAUUUUGUUGGUUUUUGGAAUCGCCGUAAUGAUUAAUAGGGACAGUCGGGGGCAUUAGUACUCACAUGCUAGAGGUGAAAUUCUUGGAUUUUGUGAAGACUAACUUCUGCGAAAGCAUUUGCCAAGGAUGUUUUCAUUGA